This is an RNA transcript of Hirundo rustica (Barn swallow), 4215 nucleotides long. It is a transcript of the gene named OCIA domain containing 2, with no coding region annotated. The transcript has 9 exons. Lineage: Eukaryota; Metazoa; Chordata; Aves; Passeriformes; Hirundinidae. The record is from RefSeq and is a predicted model, not a curated record.
GCCCAGUCACGGCUCUCCGCAGGCCGGCCCACGCGUGGGUCAGCCCAGCCCAUUCCGUUCCCUCCGGCGGCCCGCGGAAGCAGAAAGAGAAGUAGCCAAGCAUAAAACGCAUAGCUUCUGCUGAACAAGAGCAGUAGCAGACUACAAGGAAAGAGACAAUGUCUUCUGAAACAGUCCAACAGGGAAGUCAGACACCUCCAGUUAAGCAACCUGGAUGGCCAAUGUUAUUUUGUCCCAUCUCCCAAAUUCAAGACAAAGAGAUUGCAAAGAUCAGUAGAGAAUGCAAACAGGAAAGUUUCUGGUACAGAGCUCUUCCUUUAUCUCUUGGGAGCAUGCUUGUCACCCAGGGGCUAAUCUCAAAAGGCAUUUUCUCAGCAAGCCCAAGAUUUGGUCCAUAUCCCAAGAUGGCAUUUGCAGGUAUCUUGGGUUUUGCCCUUGGAAAGAUGUCAUACAUGGGGGAAUGCCAAAAAAAGUUUCAGAAAAUUGGUAUUGCACCAUUUGGUCCACAACAAAAAAGGCAGUGUCAUCAUGCUUGCAAAGAAUGUAAAGCAAAACUGGGAUCGAAUGAGAAAGAAGGUUCAAUUCCUUCAGCAUCUUAGUCCCAGUGCAUGCCCACAGACAAUCUGCAAGGAGGAAUAUCCUAUCAGAACCUGUUUACUUGCCCAGAAGAGAGAUAUUGAUGGACUUUUACUAUGCAACAAUACAUUGUGGCAGUGAGGAUUGAAGAGUUUUCGGAGUCCUUAAAGAAGCCAUUAGAAUAAAGUCCUGAUUUUAAUCAACUUUGCCACUGGUUCGGCAUUUUAUAUCAAGUGCUGCAAGUGCUCAGCCACCAGGAGAAAAUGCACUUUGGCUUAGGCUCACCUAAUAGGGUUGUGCCAAAAGAAGCAGUGCUUCUCUUGUGCCAGCUAUAGAGAUCAUGAAGUGAGCUCGCCCUCCAGACCAGCUCUCUGCUCUUGUUUGGUAUGAGGACACGGGUAAAAAAAUCCCCCAAAGCUUUCUGAAGGGUUUCUCGCUGGUGCCAGCAUGAAGGAGGGAGUGAGACAGACUGAGAUAACUCUGAAUAAAUAACACUCUAAAUCCAUUAGCACCUAGAAGCUUAAUUAACAUCUUGCAAUACUGUGCUGAUUAACUGCUUUUGAAGAUUUUGUCUUAAAUAAAUGCUUUUGUAGGCUCACUUAUUUCAAAUAAGGACCCCAAAGCAUAUUUAACUGAGAAUGGUCACUCACUAGCAAUUAUCUGUGUAGGGGAAUCAAAUAUUUAUUGUGGGAUUUACCCUAUUGUUUGUCAGAGCUGCAGCUUGCUGAACCUUCAAUCCAAAUAAAUUUUAUUUUUCAGCCUUCCUCUGUCAGCUGACAAUAUUUUUUCAGGUGUGUACCUGAAGUACCAAUUAGCUUUUAAAUAAAUUCCAGGUUGUCUCAAAUACAAAGGAGCCUUGCAGCUUUUUGAGGAGAAGAACACAGAAUGCCACAGGCCCCUCUCCUCAUUUUUUCCUGUAAUGGAUCCUGAAAUUUCUGCUGUGGAACCUGUUCCCUCCUCCAGCUCACAUGUUCAUCAAAGACCUUGAUUGCUGCACAUUUUACCAGCAGCUUAGGUCUUCUUGUUUGGUUUUUAAAAGGGCUUGAAAGCUUAGUCAGAAACUUAUGUAAGGUAUGUGUAGUUCUUUCAAGUUUUAAUUGCUGUAAUGAAAAAGCCACUAUGUUUGGGCUAGUGUGGUCUUUUGAAUUUGCUGGAAAUCAAAUUUGAUGGACAAGUUUUAGAAACUUGGGAAAAGAAGUACUGUGUCCUGGAGUGACUUUAUGAUGCUUGUAUCCCCAAUCCUCUGUUCUGUUUGUGUUGGAUAUUGUGUUCUGUACCUUUAAGACUGGUUCUGAGAGCGAAGGGGGACAAGAAGAAGCGCGGAGUUUGUUUGCAGAAACUGCCCUCACUCCUACACAUUCCACAUUCCACUCCUGGACUGUAUCAUCUGAGGCACGGACAGACAGUGGGACAGAGACCUCCUUUGCUUUAGUUUUUAGCUAGUUGAGGCAGAGAAGUUCCCUGGACUGUUUUAUUCUUUUUUUGGGGACUGUUCAAACCUGCUCUGGACUGAAAACCCAGAAGAGCACCAGGAGCUCACACCUGCAGCCCACCGGGGCCUGGACUUGGGCAUUUUCCAGCACCAGAAGGAGUGAUAAGAGACUGAGUGAGCCGAGCUACACCUGCAAGGACGUUCUGAGUUUGCCAUCUCACCUCAGAGCUACGAGAGCUUUUGUUAUUUCAUAUUAUUCAUCUUUCGUGCUUGUGGGCACUUUGUUAAAUAAAGUUUUUUUCCACUUUUCUCUAAGGAGAUUUUUUCCCGGACUGAUUGGGGGAGGCCUAUUUGGGUUUGCUUCCCAGAGGGAUGCUAUUCAGAGGUUUCCUCCCGAAUCUGCCCCAAACCAGGACAUACUAUGUGGUGAACGUGAUAAAAACCUUACAGACCAACUUCUUUCAAGGCACUUUCCUGUAGACUAGAAAUAAUAAUUUUGUGAUCCUGUCUUUUAGAUUUGCUAUAAAUUCACUUAUUUGAAAUAGUUGUAUAUUGUUACUUAGUUCUGUUUGUACUACCUACCUGUUUUUUGAAAUGCAAUUUUUGAAAUACACUCCUCUCUUUCCAGCACGUGUUGGUUUAUUUUCCUCUCUUCAAUGCAAUUUAGCUCUUAGUGUUGAAAAAUUACAUUUGUCUAGUGCAUCUAGAUGCUGGAAAUACUUUGGGUAACAAAGUGGUUUAUGUUGGAACGUUUGUCUAUGUCAAACGGAAAGGGUUAUGAGGAUGUUUAAAUAGUUUAGUUGAGGUGUUAAGGCAUGAGUUGGACUCAAUAAUCUUGAAGGUCUCUUCCAGCCUAGUGAUUCUGUGAAUUCUGGGAAAUGGUUUGCACAGUGAAGCAGCUGUUCAGUCUCUGAGCUCAGCCCUUGGUUCUGGAGUACUUUAAGAGUACCAAAUUCAGAGUAUUGUCAGACUGCGGUUACUGUGCUGAACCAACUUCCUAUAAGCCAGUUUCACACAAAGGUCCGCUUUGCCAGGGAUAUUCAAAAGCAUGUGAACAAGAACACACAGUAUUUUGGAACAGUUUAUGGUUGCACAAAAUCUCAGGCCACCAGAUGCUGAAAAAAACCCAAACCUAGAUAGCACAUGCUCUCUACAAACAGCAGGACACACAGUCUUCCAUGAAACAUCUCAGGACAUCAAAAGCAGGCACUUCCCCUAAACACAGUGAUGGCUUUCCCAUGGAAAUAAAUGUGCAGCUACUGAAAAGUUUGGGCUUUGCUGUCAGUUGAUGAAGACACUUUUCUGUGGGCUUUUUCUGUUUGCUUUUAUACUAUGCCUUUGGUUAGUGCCCCUCUUUUGAAUUAGCUUCUAUGGACAUCUUUACCUGGCCCCAAAGAAAUUCUGUAAGCAAAAUAUAUAGGGUGGAAGAGUGUAAUGUAACUACUAAUUGGUUAGUAAACACAAAAGACAUUCUGGAUUUGACAAAGUGAUUAGAUUGAAUACUUAGUUCUCUGAUAAAGCACUUGGAUGGCCUUUCCUAGCCAAGCAACCGCCAGGCAGAAGGGGAAGGGUUAGACUGACUAGCCUCUCUGUUCUGUUUUUUACUAUAAAAUUUUAUACUUUUAUACUUGAUGUUUAGCCUCUUGAAUUCUUGAGCCACUAUGAACCCCUGUCUCAACAGGGGCUUCAGUUUUACAGUUGCUACUUUUCUACAGUAUUUUUCCACAGUGCUUUUAGUUGGAAUCAGGGAUACACAGGAGUGCUGUGUCACAGCUGCUGCUGUGUACAGGCAGGUGAGCCUUGGGGAGCCUUCUACAGGGGCUCCAGGGAGAGGGAGUUACACAACCACAGAGAAGGCGACCUCCGUUGUGAAAAUCAUGUAAUUGUCAUGGGGGUACUGUGAUGGCCAUCAAAACUUGCAUGGUGACAUGUCUGAGCUACUUCCCCUUCAUCUGCUGUCAAGAUAACCACCAGAAGCUGCACCAAGGUUCGUGCCUGGGUUAUCUGAGGGAAGCCAUUACGUGCAGGUGAUGCCAAGGAGAGUGACGUGUGGGACAGAGGACCUUGCAUGUCAGACUCUCAGAGGUUGUUCUUGUGGCCAGCGUUACCUCUUGUGAUUAAAACUUAGCUACUGAACUUUGCUUUAAAUGUAAUUUUGGUUUUUACUUUUGAUUAUUUUUCUGUAAUAAAUAUACUGAUGUAUAAAA